CGGGGGGCAGCAGUGGGGAAUAUUGCGCAAUGGGCGAAAGCCUGACGCAGCGACGCCGCGUGAGGGACGAAGGCCUUCGGGUUGUAAACCUCUUUCAGCAGGGAAGAAGCGAAAGUGACGGUACCUGCAGAAGAAGCACCGGCUAACUACGUGCCAGCAGCCGCGGUAAUACGUAGGGUGCAAGCGUUGUCCGGAUUUAUUGGGCGUAAAGAGCUCGUAGGCGGUUUGUUACGUCGGAUGUGAAAACCCGGGGCUCAACCCCGGGCCUGCAUUCGAUACGGGCAGACUUGAGUGUGGUAGGGGAGACUGGAAUUCCUGGUGUAGCGGUGAAAUGCGCAGAUAUCAGGAGGAACACCGAUGGCGAAGGCAGGUCUCUGGGCCACUACUGACGCUGAGGAGCGAAAGCGUGGGGAGCAAACAGGAUUAGAUACCCGAGU
This 437-nucleotide ribosomal RNA is filed under the name uncultured Actinomycetales bacterium. RNAcentral describes it as "bacterial SSU rRNA". It matches the Rfam family "Bacterial small subunit ribosomal RNA", at positions 342 to 791 of the family's 1533-position model. The record is from RNAcentral. Lineage: Bacteria; Bacillati; Actinomycetota; Actinomycetes; Actinomycetales.